GGAAAAAGUAUUGAAAGCUCUAAUAAAGAGGUCCUCCUAUAUCAUGUUUAAACUUUUUUGCAUAUGUGUACAUAGUUUGAACACAAAGUGAAGAGAUGGUAGCAAUGAGAAAGCACAUAUACGGACAAGAUCGAAUGUCAAAAGCAUAUGUGUAGCUAAGCAAAAUGGCGUAUCUCUGGGACUUCAUCAUGGGGGCGGUGAGCAGCUGAACUAAUAUGAUUAUAUGGAGCUUUAGGAAACUGAUGUUUCACUUGUAAAUCCCAAAUAGGUGUCACCCAUAGAUCUUCUUUUCCGUAAAUGAGACAGACCAGUACACUGUUCAUUCGACACCCAGUCAGUGCCUCUUUAAAAUUUAGUUGUCCCUGAGGAGCGAACAUUAUUGAAGCAAGGGAUGCAGCUGCUGCAGGGUGUUCUGUUACCUCAAGAAUACUAGAGAAAACUUUAUCUACUUUUGUGGUAUGAUCAGCGUAAACUUGUUUAAGCACCUCUGCGAUACUCUCGGGAGCACUAAUUUUCUGCCAUACAAGUUCUGUGAGCUUUCUGAUAUUGGAGGGCAGAGGAAAAGUACCAGCCCAUGGAAAUAAUCUAGAUAAUCUCGGAGAUCUAACAGGAUUAGGAAGAAAUCCCCAAAAAGGCGUAGCAUUCAGCAAGGUUACACCUUUCACUAAUUGAGGGUAGUAUGCAGCAAAGUAGAGGGCAACAUAUCCACCAAGUGAAUUUCCCACAAUGUAGACUGGUUCCUUAAUAACCUCUUCGAUGAAAUAGCGUACUUGCUCCCUCCAUAAGUCAAUAGAAUAGACAAGUUCUUUUGCCCAAGGUUCUACUUCAUCCCCCAAACCCCAGAGAACAUUGUUUCCAUCACCUUCCGAUUCAUUUAAUCUUUUUGACCGCGAAGUUGGAUCCUCACUAGGUAAUGACUUUCCCUGUCCAAUAAAAUCCAAUGCCCAUAUUCUGUUAUCACGACCAAGAUCCUUUAGCUGUUUUUCAUAGUGAAAGGAACCAACACCAAAACCAGGAAGAAAAAGUAUUGGCGCGGAGUUAACAUUUUGACAUCCAGAUUUCUCAUAAUGAACAUUCAGUUUUGGCUUCCAUUCCCACAAACAGCUAUCAAUCACAGCAACAGCAUCGCCUUUAGCUUCACUUGGUAAACUAGGAAUCAUAACCUUUGGUACUGAUUUACCUCUACUAGUCACACCUUCUGUACCGACUUUCCCAUCCACGACAUCUGUGUUAUAGCUUUCAUUCAAGAGACUUGAGUCAACAACACUGUCAACCCCCUUAACAGAAGCGACAGUGCAAGAUCUCCGCUUCCUAUUUUUCUCUACGCUAUAAACAUCUAAACCAGAACACAAUCUUCUUUCUUUUAGUCUAGAAAACAUUGUCUGAUUUGAAAUUAGGCAUUUUUGAAUCACAUUCGGUUUAACAUUUACAACGCAGUAAUAGGGUGUCGAAUAGAAAGAACAAAAUUCCAUCCCAGAGUCAGCUUUCUAAAAUCUAAAAUGAAUACCUUUAAUCAGUUUUCUAAGAUAAUUAUGAGCAAAAUCUC
This 1546-nucleotide unclassified non-coding RNA is filed under the name Hevea brasiliensis (rubber tree). The record is from RNAcentral. Lineage: Eukaryota; Viridiplantae; Streptophyta; Magnoliopsida; Malpighiales; Euphorbiaceae.